Molecule: small nuclear RNA, 279 nt
Filed under: Aotus nancymaae (Ma's night monkey)
Lineage: Eukaryota; Metazoa; Chordata; Mammalia; Primates; Aotidae
Description: 7SK RNA (ENSANAG00000007723.1)
Rfam family: 7SK RNA
About the family: 7SK was discovered as an abundant small nuclear RNA in the mid-70s but a possible function has only recently been suggested.
Source: RNAcentral
UCAUGUGAGGGUAAUCUGGCUUCAACAUCUGCCACCCACUGAUCGCCAGGGUUGAUUCAGCUGAUACCUGGCUACACAAGUGUCCCCUUCCUCCACUGUUCCAUAUGUAGCCCUCCUCAAGUUGAAAAAUGGGUUGAAGAGGAUGACCUUCCCUGAUAAAAGAGGACCAUUCUUUAAUCAAGGGCGUGCAAGUAGCUCUCUAAGCUCUCAAGGUAAAGGUUUCACCUGCACUGUCAGUUUUAUAAUCAAUCACUGCAAAUGGCAAGAAGCUUAAUUUCU